GCAGGCGUCGCCAAGAGGUUAAGGCACUGGAUUGUGGUUCCAGUAUUCGGGGGUUCGAUUCCCCUCGUCUGCCCCA
Molecule: transfer RNA, 76 nt
Filed under: Candidatus Melainabacteria bacterium
Lineage: Bacteria; Bacillati; Candidatus Melainabacteria
Also listed under: 2 other names
Description: tRNA-His
Rfam family: tRNA
About the family: Transfer RNA (tRNA) molecules are approximately 80 nucleotides in length. Their secondary structure includes four short double-helical elements and three loops (D, anti-codon, and T loops).
Source: RNAcentral